GAUGAAGAACGCAGCGAAAUGCGAUAAGUAAUGUGAAUUGCAGAAUUCAGUGAAUCAUCGAAUCUUUGAACGCACAUUGCGCCCGCCAGUAUUCUGGCGGGCAUGCCAGUUCGAGCGUCAUUACAACCCUCAGGCCCCCGGGCCUGGCGUUGGGGAUCGGCGGAGCCCCCCGUGGGCACACGCCGUCCCCCAAAUGCAGUGGCGGUCCCGCCGCAGCUUCCAUCGCGUAGUAGCUAACACCUCGCGACUGGAGAGCGGCGCGGCCACGCCGUAAAACACCCAACUCUUCUGAAGUUGACCUCGAAUCAGGUAGGAAUACCCGCUGAACUUAAGCAUAUCAAUAAGCGGAGGA
This 352-nucleotide unclassified non-coding RNA is filed under the name soil metagenome. RNAcentral describes it as "partial contains 5.8S ribosomal RNA, internal transcribed spacer 2, and large subunit ribosomal RNA". The stretch from base 1 to 120 matches the Rfam family "5.8S ribosomal RNA", at positions 35 to 154 of the family's 154-position model. The record is from RNAcentral.